AUGACUAUACUUUCAGGGAUCAUUUCUAUAGUCCAUAUUAAUAGGCAAGCUUGAUUCAGCUUUGCCCAGAUAAACUUAUACAAAUUAUUGAAGGU
Molecule: small nucleolar RNA, 95 nt
Filed under: Otolemur garnettii (small-eared galago)
Lineage: Eukaryota; Metazoa; Chordata; Mammalia; Primates; Galagidae
Description: Small nucleolar RNA U3
Rfam family: Small nucleolar RNA U3 (bases 1-41)
Source: Rfam by way of RNAcentral